Molecule: unclassified non-coding RNA, 304 nt
Filed under: uncultured fungus
Lineage: Eukaryota; Fungi
Description: partial contains small subunit ribosomal RNA, internal transcribed spacer 1, and 5.8S ribosomal RNA
Rfam family: Eukaryotic small subunit ribosomal RNA (bases 1-73)
Source: RNAcentral
ACAAACUUGGUCAUUUAGAGGAAGUAAAAGUCGUAACAAGGUCUCCGUAGGUGAACCUGCGGAGGGAUCAUUACCGAGUUCGUGCCCCACCGCGGGGUAGAUCUCCCACCCUUUGUGUAUCCUUGCUCUUGUUGCUUUGGCAGGCCGCUGGGCGUCAAGCCUGGCCACCGGCUCCCCUGGAGCUGGUGCGUGCCUGCCAGAGGAUCUCCAAACUCGUGUUUGUCAGUGUCGUCUGAGCAUUAUUGCAAUUGUUAAAACUUUCAACAACGGAUCUCUUGGUUCUGGCAUCGAUGAAGAACGCAGC